UGCAUUGCGCCCGCCUGAGCUGGUGGGCCGCGUGCGCUUGGCCCUUUGCGGAGGGACGGCUGGUGCGCGGCGCCGCUGUUAGGCAGGGCCGCGUGCUCGGGGGCCCACUGUGGCAGCGCCCGGCGGGUGUUCCCUUCUGCCUGCUCGUCCUCUGAGGGCGGAUGCUGAGCUGGUGGGUCCUAGCGCUGGGGCAUAUUUCAGCAACUGCCUCCCUCCUGUGUCCUACUGUCAUUAGCACUCUACCUACUGCCUGCCCUUCAGUGGCUGAGCAGCUCCAGCAGGGUCAAGGGAGGCAAAUCCUUCCCACCUUCGACAUUUAGAGGGCAGCUGGUGGCUAUGGGAAAAUCAAACAGUUUAUGGCAAUACGUCCAGCUAGUAGUAAGAUACUGAUGUAUGCUCACCCCACCUCCCACAAACAGGUGGGUAUUACACUGAAAAAUAGAGGCUGGGAUACAACAACAAGACCUCUUAGAUUUACUUACAAUUAUUUAUUAACCUGCAACAGUUCUCAAAAUAGCCGGGCCACGACUGAGUUUCCAUAUCUGUAGCUCAUUCCGCUCCCUUUACAAAGAGGAAUUACAUUCUAAAUGCCACAGAGGUAUGUUUAUCUUCUAUCACUCAGCUGGUCUACAUGCUGAAUCUAUAGCGAAGACUACAGCAAAAAGUUAAGAUGACCCAGCUGUGUUGUUCAGGGGUGUGAAAGCUGACCUAACUGGUUUAGAUAGUGCAAGGUUGAUGGGAAGAAUUCUGUGGACCUAGCUGCUUCCUCUCGGGGAGAUGGAAUAGUUACAGCAACAGGAGAACCCCAUCACUGCUGUAGUGUUAAUUUACCUCCAUGAUCUCUAUCUGUUUCCCCUCCAGCUCAGCUCUAAUUUCUGUCCUAUUCUUUACUGGAUGCAGAAAUACCUUGUUGUUGUUGUUGACAUCCCUAGCACGUCUUUGUAUGAUCCGGGUACUCCUCCAUCGCGUCAAGCUUUUACUCCAGCUCUUAAUUUAAAUAAUAUCCCCAAACGUGUGCAGAGUUCCAUGCCAGAAGUCUGGUUCAUCUCUUGUGUAUAGGUGUUCACUUCUCCGAAAAGUUUCCCUUUGCUUAUUAAAUUUAAACCCACCCUCUUUAUAUUUCUCUCCCUGAUCCAUAACUAGGGCUCUUAGAGGGUUUAAUAAAUACUUAAUAAAGGUGCCACUGAUAGCUCCUCCACUGUUUGUGUCAGCAAGGCUACUAAAUUAUAUUUACAUAAAUCAAGCAUGGUUUUUAUGAACUCUGAACUUUUAUGAGCCUUACAGUAUCAGCCCACAUGGAUAAGCACAAUAUCAUGGAACUUUAUUACAACUGGUCUGGAGUUCUUUAAUUAUUUUUCAUCAAAAAUGUCUAUUUGUCAAAACCAAAACUGUUCAUGCAACAGGGUCAAGUUCAAUAAAUUCCCCAACUGAAAAAAAGUUUAGAAAUUGUCAACAUGAAAAAUUCUGGUUUUCCAGUUAGAAAUUACUUUUUGAUUAGAAAAUAAAGUUAAUUAGACUGAAAAAGGAUUUUAAAAAAAGAA
Molecule: long non-coding RNA, 1541 nt
Organism: Chelonia mydas (Green sea turtle)
Lineage: Eukaryota; Metazoa; Chordata; Testudines; Cheloniidae
Exons: 3
Source: RefSeq, a predicted model, not a curated record